Molecule: long non-coding RNA, 1541 nt
Organism: Oncorhynchus keta (chum salmon)
Lineage: Eukaryota; Metazoa; Chordata; Actinopteri; Salmoniformes; Salmonidae
Exons: 2
Source: RefSeq, a predicted model, not a curated record
AUGAAAUAAAAUAUAACUCAAACAUAGCGAGAAAAAUAACUCUAGUUUGGAAAUAAUUGAUAUGCCAAUAGAGGGACUAACUACAGAAUAGAUUCAGCCCGGUGACGCUGAACGCCGUUACUAUGCAACCAGCUGUGUACGUUGCCGAAUGCUUCCUGAUAACGUUUUGCUAUUCACUGCCAGAGCCAUAGUUAUAUUUGUAGUAGAUUAGUACCAUCAUUUGUUUUUGCCUUAGAAAAUAAACGACAAACUUAUUAUCACAGUCAUGUUUUGGGUUAGCAGACGAAGCCCCCAAAUGCUAGCUAGCUACCUCAUUUGCAAAUCCGGAGGACCUGAGCCCUAGGACCAUGCUUCAGGACUACCUGGCAUGAUGACUCCUUGCUGUCUCCAGUCCACCUGGUUGUGCUGCAGUUUCAACCUUUCUGCCUGUGGCUAUGGAACCCUGACCUGUUCACCGGAUAAGCUACCUUGUCCCAGACCUACUGUUAUUCUCUCUCUCUCUCUCUACCACACCUGCUGUCUCUAACUCUGAAUGAUCCGCUAUGAAAAGCCAACAGACAUUUUCUCCUGAGGUGCUGACCUGUUGCACCUUCUACAACCACUGUGAUUAUUAUUAUCUAACCCUGCUGGUCAUCUAUGAACUUUUGAACAUCUUGGUCAUGUUCUGUUAUAAUCUCCACCCGGCACAGCCAGAAGAGGAAUGGCCACCCCUCAGAGCCUGAUUCCUGUCUAGGUUUCGGCCUUUCUAGGGAGUUUUUCCUAGACACCAUGCUUCUACAUCUGUAUUGCUUGCUGUUUGGGGUUCUAGGCUGAGUUUCUGUAUAGCACUUUAUGACAUCAGCUGAUGUAAAAAGGGCUUUAUAAAUAAAUCGGAUUGAUUGAUACAAUAUCAGUACUUUUUACAUUUACAACUUUUCUAAGUCAAUAUCAUCAACUGAUUUCAGCCAGUGUAUGGACGUGGAUUGACUGCAUUGUUUCAAUGGAAGGUUGGCGUAUUGUCAGUUAAUUUGAACAAUUUAUGGAAUUUGUCCUCAAACUGUCUGGCUAGCAUACAGUGGAGAUACAUUCUUGAAAUGCAUUAUUUUAUUUAUAUCUUAUCACAGCUUUGGCAAACCAUGGUUUAGCAACUCCCUGACCAAAAUGGCUGACCUUUAUUCCAUCAUAAGGGUCCCAUCAUAAGAAUGUUAAUGACCAUUCUAGUAAUUCUAGUUCCUAAUUAAAUCAGAAUAAAAUCAAAUUUUAUUGGUCAUAUACACAUUGUUAGCAAAUGUUAUUGCGAGUGUAGUGAAAUGCUUGUGCUUUUAGUUCCGACAGUGCAGCAAUAUCUAACAAGUAAUCUAACAAUUCCACAACAACUACCUAAUACACACAAAUCUAAGCAAAGGGAUGGAAUAAGAAUAUGUUCAUAUAAAUAUAUGGAUGAGCAAUGACCGAGCAGCAUAGGCAAGAUGCAAUAGAUUAUAUAAAAUACAGUAUAUAAAUAUGGGAUGAGUAAUGCAAGAUAUGUAAACAUCAUUAUUAAAGUGGCAUUGCUAAAGUGA